CCAGACCAAAAAAAAACGCAAACUCAGAUUCAUAGAUCUCAUCAUGUGAUAUCCCAAUUCAGUUUGCAAGUUGGAACUUGAAAAGCCCUAGAUUAUGAAAACCAGUCAAACCAUUCAGCAUUCACCAAACACGGUGCCGUUUAAUUCAUUUUCUCUCUAAAUGCUCUAGCAUUUCCUUUCCCCGGCUGUAAACGACGCCCCCGUUGCAAGUUUUGCUAUAUAUUCCUCCGCCAGGACUUCCAUCAAAUCAGGUUUUAUGGAUUCUUAUACUUGUACCCAUGAAAUGGGGAAAAGCCAUGACUCAUCCCAAAAGUCCACGCAAAGUUUGGAUGAAACUUGUAGUGAAGAAGCUGAUAAGGCAAAAAUUGAGCUAUCUCUUGGGCCUAUCACUCCUGAUGCAAACAAAGAAAAUGGGGAUUUUCUCUUGGAUCUUAGUUCUCCAUUCACUAUGGUGACAAAACUGCCUAAAGUACUUACCUUUGAUUCUAAAACCAACAGAAAUCAGGAUCAAUUCCCCAAUGUUCACAAUUCUAGCAGCCCCAAAACACCUAAAGAUGGUGUUUUUGACCCAUUUGCUCCCAGUCAAGAUGACAAAGUCUUCGCUCCCCAGUCUAAGAAAUACUUUGAUGAAGCAAGGAUCAGUGUUGCACGAAGACUCAACUUUGGAACUUUCCUCAAGGGUUUGGGCCAUACAAGUCCUGGUGAUGGAGUGGAGUCCAUUUUAGAUGAGGAGAUGUUCAAAUCAGUCUAUGAAAAUCUCUUGGAGGCUAUUAUUUGUGAGCAAACAGAAAGUGCUUUUGCUGAACUAUCAAAUAUGGAAUGGGAUUCUGAUGCUUGCAGAACACCUCCCUCAGCUCCUCGACUAAAUCAAGUUGCUGAAACUUGCCCAGGUGCUCCGUUGAAACCAACUGGUAAAUCAAGGCUUAUUGAUUUGGGAUUAUGCAGAAAGAUUGAAUUCUGAUGGUGGGCCUUACCUGUGAUGUUGAAAAUGUGACACUACCCUGCCAACUAGUUUUGCAAGCGUGCAUUAUGUAUUAGUUAAAGCUCUAACUUUUGUGACUCUCGAGUUUAACUUGUGUGCCUUAGAGAUCUAAUUUAGACAGGGGAAAUUGCUGUCUGACCAAGAUUACAGUGUACUAGUAGCAUUG
Molecule: unclassified non-coding RNA, 1148 nt
Filed under: Hevea brasiliensis (rubber tree)
Lineage: Eukaryota; Viridiplantae; Streptophyta; Magnoliopsida; Malpighiales; Euphorbiaceae
Source: RNAcentral